This 164-nucleotide ribosomal RNA is filed under the name uncultured bacterium. RNAcentral's name for it is "partial 16S ribosomal RNA". It matches the Rfam family "Bacterial small subunit ribosomal RNA", at positions 355 to 509 of the family's 1533-position model. The record is from RNAcentral.
UAGGGAAUUUUCGUCAAUGGGCGCAAGCCUGAACGAGCAAUGGCCGCGUGAGUGAGGAAGGUCUUCGGAUAGUAAAGCUCUGUUGCAGGUCAAGAAAAGAAGGGAAGAGGAAAUGCUUUUCUUUUGAUAGUAACCUGCCAGAAAGUCACGGCUAACUACGUGCC